UACGUAGGGUGCGAGCGUUAAUCGGAAUUACUGGGAGUAAAGCGUGCGCAGGCGGUUUCAUAAGUCUGUCGUGAAAUCCCCGGGCUUAACCUGGGAAUGGCGAUGGAGACUGCGAGGCUAGAGUUUGGCAGAGGGGGGUAGAAUUCCACGUGUAGCAGUGAAAUGCGUAGAGAUGUGGAGGAACACCGAUGGCGAAGGCAGCCCCCUGGGUCAAAACUGACGCUCAUGCACGAAAGCGUGGGGAGCAAACAGG
RNAcentral lists this ribosomal RNA (253 nucleotides) under uncultured bacterium. RNAcentral describes it as "partial 16S ribosomal RNA". It matches the Rfam family "Bacterial small subunit ribosomal RNA", at positions 524 to 776 of the family's 1533-position model. The record is from RNAcentral.